Molecule: ribosomal RNA, 460 nt
Filed under: uncultured bacterium
Lineage: Bacteria
Description: partial 16S ribosomal RNA
Rfam family: Bacterial small subunit ribosomal RNA
Source: RNAcentral
CCUACGGGGUGCAGCAGUGAGGAAUAUUGGUCAAUGGACGAGAGUCUGAACCAGCCACGUAGCGUGAAGGAUGACUGCCCUAUGGGUUGUAAACUUCUUUUAUAUGGGAAUAAAAUGUUCCACGUGUGGGAUUUUGUAUGUACCAUAUGAAUAAGGAUCGGCUAACUCCGUGCCAGCAGCCGCGGUAAUACGGAGGAUCCGAGCGUUAUCCGGAUUUAUUGGGUUUAAAGGGAGCGUAGGUGGAUUGUUAAGUCAGUUGUGAAAGUUUGCGGCUCAACCGUAAGAUUGCAGUUGAAACUGGCAGUCUUGAGUACAGUAGAGGUGAGCGGAAUUCGUGGUGUAGCGGUGAAAUGCUUAGAUAUCACGAAGAACUCCGAUGGCGAAGGCAGUUCACUGGACUGCAACUGACACUGAGGCUCGAAAGUGUGGGUAUCAAACAGGAUUAGAUACCCUUGUAGUC